This 236-nucleotide long non-coding RNA is filed under the name Elaeis guineensis (African oil palm). RNAcentral's name for it is "long non-coding RNA (EGUI_LNC029280)". The record is from RNAcentral. Lineage: Eukaryota; Viridiplantae; Streptophyta; Magnoliopsida; Arecales; Arecaceae.
ACUUAUAGGAAAAACUACCUUGGAGAAGUUAUUUUGAGUAAUAACUAUCAAUUCUUCCCAUAAUAGGAGCAUGAAGAUGACUUUAAUUACUCCAUCUCCAAUACACUCAACACUACAACGACAACACUAUCAGAUGCUCGUCACCUUCUACCUGUGAUUACAUAUCUUAUAAAGUGGUUGGUCUAAAAACUCUCUCCUAGAAUUUUAGAAACUGAAGUCUUUCUUCAUAGUGCAGG